Molecule: ribosomal RNA, 301 nt
Filed under: uncultured bacterium
Lineage: Bacteria
Description: partial 16S ribosomal RNA
Rfam family: Bacterial small subunit ribosomal RNA
Source: RNAcentral
CAGUAGCCGCGGUAAUACGAAGGGGGCUAGCGUUGUUCGGAUUUACUGGGCGUAAAGCGCACGUAGGCGGACUUUUAAGUCAGGGGUGAAAUCCCGGGGCUCAACCCCGGAACUGCCUUUGAUACUGGGAGUCUUGAGUUCGAGAGAGGCGAGUGGAAUUGCGAGUGUAGAGGUGAAAUUCGUAGAUAUUCGCAGGAACACCAGUGGCGAAGGCGGCUCACUGGCUCGAUACUGACGCUGAGGAGCGAAAGCGUGGGGAGCGAACAGGAUUAGAUACCCCCGUAGUCCCUGUCUCUUAUAC